CUAUACCGAACCACAUGGCAUGGUGGCCGAGGCCCUUAGGCCAACAAACAACACACAACAUCCGGAAGCAAUACCUCUGACGUGGCCCAACUGUUUGGAGGUCGAAGUGCUCUAGCCGAGGUGGUCCACACUGAGGCCCAUAUGCCAAAGCCGAACUCCGGAACGAUUUUAGCAUCACUUCUUCCCAGAGAUCCGAUCUUACACAAGAAUCAUCUUUGAUUGAUUGAUGGGACACCCAUCAUAGAGUGCAAGUGUCUUAUAUUGUCAAAUAUAGAUGCGACUUUGCCGAUUAAUAAAUGUAUGGCAGGCUAGGUAGUUAAACGUGAUGCCUAGGAUUAGAUUAGUAAACUAACAAGAUGAGGCCACGUGUACUCCCAAUAGAAGGCCAUGAUUCAACUUGUAUUACUAUAAAUAUUCUCCCAUGCACUCCAUGUAAAGAGAAUGCAAGAUUCAAUACAAGAACAACACUCUUUCUUUCACUCUCUUGCAAAACAUAUGAGAUUACACACAAAU
This 513-nucleotide long non-coding RNA is filed under the name Olea europaea subsp. europaea. The record is from RNAcentral. Lineage: Eukaryota; Viridiplantae; Streptophyta; Magnoliopsida; Lamiales; Oleaceae.